AUUCUCUUUUGUUUCAAUUUGAGGACAGCCAUAUAUAGGACACAAUUCCUGACAGUCAGUAGUCUAGUUCUUUAAUUGUGACACUCUGUGGUCUUUACUCUUGGUCCUUAACCAUUUCAUACAGGGUUCCCACCUUGGUACCUCUGUCAUAUACCAAGAGCUACAGCAAACCAACAAUGGCAUAGAAAAAAUCACAUUAGAAAUAAGA
Rhodamnia argentea is the source of this 208-nucleotide long non-coding RNA. RefSeq lists it as uncharacterized. The record is from RefSeq and is a predicted model, not a curated record. NCBI's taxonomy places the organism in Eukaryota, Viridiplantae, Streptophyta, Magnoliopsida, Myrtales, Myrtaceae. The transcript has 2 exons.